This 253-nucleotide ribosomal RNA is filed under the name uncultured bacterium. RNAcentral's name for it is "partial 16S ribosomal RNA". It matches the Rfam family "Bacterial small subunit ribosomal RNA", at positions 524 to 776 of the family's 1533-position model. The record is from RNAcentral.
UACAGGGGGUGCGAGCGUUGUUCGGAAUUACUGGGCGUAAAGCGCGUGUAGGCGGUUUAUUAAGUCAGAUGUGAAAUCCCGGGGCCUAACUCCGGAAGUGCAUUUGAAACUGAUAAGCUGGAGUGAUGUAGAGGAUGGCGGAAUACCCAGUGUAGAGGUGAAAUUCGUAGAGAUUGGGUAGAACACCUGUGGCGAAGGCGGCCAUCUGGGCAUUAACUGACGCUGAGACGCGAAAGCGUGGGGAGCAAACAGG